Nicotiana attenuata is the source of this 1285-nucleotide long non-coding RNA. RefSeq lists it as uncharacterized. The transcript is spliced from 2 exons. NCBI's taxonomy places the organism in Eukaryota, Viridiplantae, Streptophyta, Magnoliopsida, Solanales, Solanaceae. The record is from RefSeq and is a predicted model, not a curated record.
UCUUCGUCGUCCUCUCAAGGGUAUUUAAGAAAUUUUGUUUAGAGAUAUUCUUAGUUUGACCUGGAAAACCUGCGGUGCUUUGAUAGUCAUCUCCCUCCUUUGCAGACACGUGGUUUAUAGAUUACCUGCGAUCUCCUGCUUCCGCCAGCGUCUUCCCCGUUGAUUUGUAGAUAACUAUCUCGAAGCGUGUUUGAUGAUUCCCCUCGUUGUUGAAGAAUGGAUUUUGAGUCAAAGUUCUAUAAAGUUACACGAAGGUUAAUUUUACAGAGACAGAGGCUAUUUCGAAUUCCCUAGGUUGUGGUGUUAUCGGUGGCUGAAAAGGGGAAAUAGAGUGCUUCUUCCAUGUCAGUAGGUGUGUUCUUUAACCAUAGUCUGGUUUACUGUAUGAUGAAUAGAAGAAAUGUUAUCUUUUGGUUUUCAAUGUAUUGCUAAAGAAAGAGAUAGGUUUGGUGUUAUUUGUUGGCAGAGUUUGGACACUAAAGGAGAAUGAUAUGUAGUGUAAAUUUUGCUUUCGAUUUUUUCUUGUAUUUCUUUGUCAAUUUUGGAGAUAAAAUCAGACCUUUCAAUUGCCCUCACAAUCAACAGUAUGAGAAUUUUCGUAUUUAAAAUAGAUAAGAUAUCAUGUAGAAGCAUUCUUUUGUUUAUUGUUGCACAUUCUUGCUCUGCAUAAAUUUCUUUUGAAAUAAAAGAAGUCACAAUAUUAUUUACCUCAUGUAAGUGAUUGGUUUUCAUAUUGCUUCUCCCGAAUGAACACAAGUUAUAUUUUUUUCGAUACGUCUGAAUGAAUCACAAGUUUGUACUUAUAAAAAGACUCGUGAUUGUACAUUGAAUUUUGUUCUCUCUCUUUGCUUCUUUUUCCUUUAUUCUACUUCUGUGUUUCUCUGUUGGAGAAUUUCUAUUUCACAAUCAAUAUGCACACAGCCGUUUCUAAGAAAUAUCUUACUUUUGCACCUAAGAGUGACUUGUUGCUCCCAACAAGGUUGAAUCCAAUUUAGGUGUAUAUGCAUCUUUUGGUGUGUCAUUGUGGUUUUCUUGAAGUGUUUGUGCAGUAUUUUUGUUGUGUGUGUCAUCUUUCUAUUUCAAAUCUCUUGUUUGAGAUAAAAUUGCUGAACUUCUUGCAUUGUUGAUUCAAAAUUGUAAAAUUAUGACUACUCGAAAGAAAAUAUCAGUCUUAUAAUAUGCUUUGACUUGGUGAAGUCGGUCUGAUUGAUUAACUACCUCUCCGGGAGCUGCAUUCACAGGUGCAACAACAUUCACGUAUUUUGUUACAUAAUGAAAAUAAUAA